RNAcentral lists this long non-coding RNA (879 nucleotides) under Pan troglodytes (chimpanzee). RNAcentral's name for it is "long non-coding RNA NONPTRT012775". Lineage: Eukaryota; Metazoa; Chordata; Mammalia; Primates; Hominidae. The record is from RNAcentral.
GAGGUUUCAGACAAAGAAGCUGAGCAGUUUGCAGUAGCUACUAGAUAGAGGUUCAUAAUGGAAUAGCAGCUUCAGGUUUUUAAUCUUAAAUCAUUAGAAAUAGUUGUUUUACAACUUGAGAGAGAAAAAGUAGAAAUCUAUGGCAUAAUGAAGGGGGAAAAAAAUGGGUCAUGUUACUGUAGAGAUAGACGCAAAUUCUAUAUUAUGUCAUACGUGAAAGCUUUUUCGGUCCAUAUGGGUAUAAAUUAAUAAGAGAGAAUGCUGUCAGCGAAGAAAGUGUAAGUACUUUGUCUGGAGAGUAAGAGACCGGCCAGUUAGUCCUAAUAAAUCCGAGGGUUUGGGGAGCCUCUUUUGAGAAAGGUGAUGCAUUGCUCAUUAUGAGAGAAUCUCUUGGCAUGAGUACUUUUGCACCAAGCAUCUGCUUUUAAGGUCUCUUCAUAAAUGUUCUUCUUAUGUGCUGAUAUCUUUAUGCUUACACAAACUUGGUGGAAGGCACUAUUGUUACAUCAUUAAAUUACCUCACUGUAUUCUACAACUACCCUACCUAAUAUGCUCCAAUCACUCUUACUGUAUUUUGUUUUCUUCAUAACAUUUCCCUGUCUGAAAUUAUUUUAUUCAUGUGGUAUCAUUUAAGUGCUUAUUAUCUCUCUCACCCUGCUCCCAUCACCACUGGAGUAAAAGCUGUUUUCAAGAUCCAACCCAAAGACUGCUUAAGGAGUGGAACUUAGACUUCUUUUACUUCUUCAAGAGUCACUUCAUGGAUAAAAAGCAUCCUGUUCUUGAGACUUUGACUCAGCAGAGCCAAGAACUUUCCUAUAAGCUAUUGCUUGGUUGUUAAGGAAGCACAACAGAAUACCAGCCUGACGUGUCACAUUCUGC